RNAcentral lists this ribosomal RNA (813 nucleotides) under uncultured eukaryote. RNAcentral describes it as "SSU rRNA". It matches the Rfam family "Eukaryotic small subunit ribosomal RNA", at positions 50 to 871 of the family's 1831-position model. The record is from RNAcentral.
CAUGCAUGGUCUAAGUAUAAGCAACUAUACGGUGAAACUGCGCAAUGGCUCAUUAAAUCAGUUAUCGUUUAUUUGAUAGUACCUUACUACAUGGAUAACCGUGGUAAUUCUAGAGCUAAUACAUGCUAAAAACCCCGACUCCGGAAGGGGUGUAUUUAUUAGAUUAAAAACCAACGCCCUUCGGGGCUUCAUGGUGAAUCAUAAUAACUUCACGAAUCGCAUGGCCUUGCGCCGGCGAUGGUUCAUUCAAAUUUCUGCCCUAUCAACUUUCGAUGGUAGGAUAGUGGCCUACCAUGGUUUCAACGGGUAACGGGGAAUAAGGGUUCGACUCCGGAGAGGGAGCCUGAGAAACGGCUACCACAUCCAAGGAAGGCAGCAGGCGCGCAAAUUACCCAAUCCCGACACGGGGAGGUAGUGACAAUAAAUACUGAUACAGGGCUCUUUUGGGUCUUGUAAUUGGAAUGAGUACAAUUUAAAUCCCUUAACGAGGAACAAUUGGAGGGCAAGUCUGGUGCCAGCAGCCGCGGUAAUUCCAGCUCCAAUAGCGUAUAUUAAAGUUGUUGCAGUUAAAAAGCUCGUAGUUGAACCUUGGGCCUGGCUGGCCGGUCCGCCUCACCGCGUGCACUGGUCCGGCCGGGCCUUUCUUUCUGGGGAGCCGCAUGGCCUUCACUGGCCGUGUCGGGGAACCAGGACUUUUACUUUGAAAAAAUUAGAGUGUUCAAAGCAGGCCUUUGCUCGAAUACAUUAGCAUGGAAUAAUAGAAUAGGACGCGUGGUUCUAUUUUGUUGGUUUCUAGGACCGCCGUAAUGAUUA